RNAcentral lists this unclassified non-coding RNA (394 nucleotides) under Hevea brasiliensis (rubber tree). The record is from RNAcentral. Lineage: Eukaryota; Viridiplantae; Streptophyta; Magnoliopsida; Malpighiales; Euphorbiaceae.
UGGAGCAGAAAGCUGCCUGAUCGCGGCUUCUUAUCAUAGUUUGUGAAGAUGGGCUCGAAAGGAAAGCCUACUAGUUUUCCAUGGAAAGUGUAAUCACAUAUAUGCCUAUUAAGGUGAUCAAUUGAUGAUGUCUGGCCAUGAUAAGAGAGGGAACUCUCCUGGUUCUAUGAAAAGAUGUGGUUCCUAACUCCUACAAUCAGAACCAGUACCCAUCCUUCCAGGACGUGAUAUCGGCAGCUCAGCACCAUCUCGAGGACUUUCCAUUAGCUCAAGAGAGCUCCACCAUGCAGCACCCUCAACCAUUCAACUGGAAAUGCAUUGGUCCCCUCCGCAAGCUCACGCUAUCAAAUUCAAUUGUGAUGCAGCAGUGCCCAAACGAGGAAACAUGGGGCUG